RNAcentral lists this ribosomal RNA (465 nucleotides) under uncultured bacterium. Its description in RNAcentral is "partial 16S ribosomal RNA". The stretch from base 52 to 465 matches the Rfam family "Bacterial small subunit ribosomal RNA", at positions 35 to 507 of the family's 1533-position model. The record is from RNAcentral.
GGGGGGGGGGGGGGGGGGGGGGGGGGGGGGGGGGGGGGGGGGGGGGGCCGGGCUGGCGGGGUACGGGGGUGGCGAACGGGUGAGUAACACGUGGGUGAUCUGCCCUGCACUUCGGGAUAAGCCUGGGAAACGGGGUCUAAGACCGGCUAGGCGCCAUUUUUAGGGUGAUGGUUGGAAAGUUUUUUCGGUGUAGGAUGAGCUCGCGGCCUAUCAGCUUGUUGGUGGGGUAAUGGCCUACCAAGGCGGCGACGGGUAGCCGGCCUGCGGGGGUGGACGGCCACAUUGGGACUGAGAUACGGCCCAGACUCCUACGGGAGGCAGCAGUGGGGAAUAUUGCACAAUGGGCGCAAGCCUGAUGCAGCGACGCCGCGUGGGGGAUGACGGCCUUCGGGUUGUAAACUCCGUUCGCUAGGGACGAAGCUUUUUGUGACGGUACCUAGAUAAGAAGCACCGGCUAACUACGUG